AUACGGAGGGUGCAAGCGUUACUCGGAAUCACUGGGCGUAAAGCGCGCGCAGGCGGCCCGAUAAGUUGGAUGUGAAAUCCUAUGGCUCAACCCUAGAACUGCAUUGGAAACUGUCAGACUAGAAUACUGAAGGGGCAGAUGGAAUUAGUGGUGUAGGGGUAAAAUCCGUAGAUAUCACUAGGAAUACCGAAAGCGAAGGCGAUCUCCUGGAACAUAACUGACGCUAAGGCGUGAAAGCGUGGGGAGCAAACAGGAUUAGAAACCCCAGUAGUCC
RNAcentral lists this ribosomal RNA (274 nucleotides) under uncultured bacterium. RNAcentral's name for it is "partial 16S ribosomal RNA". It matches the Rfam family "Bacterial small subunit ribosomal RNA", at positions 523 to 796 of the family's 1533-position model. The record is from RNAcentral.